This 308-nucleotide long non-coding RNA is filed under the name Junco hyemalis (dark-eyed junco). Its description in RNAcentral is "lncRNA (ENSJHYG00000016723.1)". Lineage: Eukaryota; Metazoa; Chordata; Aves; Passeriformes; Passerellidae. The record is from RNAcentral.
AUUAAAGAUAUGCCAGAAUCAGUAAUUAUGUAUGUCAUUUUGUAGGUUUGUUAUGAGAGAGAUCUACUUUACUUCUGAAUAACCUGUGUCUGGUUAGGAAGACUAAGAUGGAAAGAAAUGGCUUCAUCCCAUUCAAGAUGACACAUGCAGCUCAAAAAAUGGGAACUUUGGGCUGCUUGGAAAUCAAGGUAUUUAAAAUGUGUCUUUGCAUUUCCUGCAUAACUGGAUCCUAGCUCAUUAAAGGUAAGACCUUUUUUUGCAAUCCCCUUAGGAGCAGUGCAUAGCAAGGGAAACUGCAUGGUUUGCAC